GAUGAACGCUGGCGGCGUGCCUAAUACAUGCAAGUCGAGCGAAUGGAUUAAGAGCUUGCUCUUAUGAAGUUAGCGGCGGACGGGUGAGUAACACGUGGGUAACCUGCCCAUAAGACUGGGAUAACUCCGGGAAACCGGGGCUAAUACCGGAUAACAUUUUGAACCGCAUGGUUCGAAAUUGAAAGGCGGCUUCGGCUGUCACUUAUGGAUGGACCCGCGUCGCAUUAGCUAGUUGGUGAGGUAACGGCUCACCAAGGCAACGAUGCGUAGCCGACCUGGGAGGGUGAUCGGCAAAACUGGGACUGGGACACGGCCCAGACUCCUACGGGAGGCAGCAGUAGGGAAUCUUCCGCAAUGGACGAAAGUCUGACGGAGCAACGCCGCGUGAGUGAUGAAGGCUUUCGGGUCGUAAAACUCUGUUGUUAGGGAAGAACAAGUGCUAGUUGAAUAAGCUGGCACCUUGACGGUACCUAACCAGAAAGCCACGGCUAACUACGUGCCAGCCGCCGCCGUAA
RNAcentral lists this ribosomal RNA (515 nucleotides) under uncultured bacterium. RNAcentral describes it as "partial 16S ribosomal RNA". It matches the Rfam family "Bacterial small subunit ribosomal RNA", at positions 28 to 523 of the family's 1533-position model. The record is from RNAcentral.